Molecule: long non-coding RNA, 810 nt
Organism: Oncorhynchus keta (chum salmon)
Lineage: Eukaryota; Metazoa; Chordata; Actinopteri; Salmoniformes; Salmonidae
Exons: 3
Source: RefSeq, a predicted model, not a curated record
AGGGAGAGAGACAAAAGAGAGGGAGAAAAGAGGGGGUGGUAGAGAGUGGUAGAGGGAGAAAAGAGGGGGUGGUAGAGAGUGGUAGAGGGAGAAAAGAGGGGGUGGUAGAGAGUGGUAGAGGGAGAAAAGAGGGGGUGGUAGAGAGUGGUAGAGGGAGAAAAGAGGGAGUGGUAGAGAGUGGUAGAGGGAGAAAAGAGGGAGUGGUAGAGAGUGGUAGAGGGAGAAAAGAGGGAGUGGUAGAGAGUGGUAGAGGGAGAAAAGAGGGAGUGGUAGAGAGUGGUAGAGGGAGAAAAGAGGGGGUGGUAGAGAGUGGUAGAGGGAGAAAGAGGGAGUGGUAGAGAGUGGUAGAGGGAGAAAAGAGGGAGUGGUAGAGAGUGGUAGAGGGAGAAAAGAGGGAGUGGUAGAGAGUGGUAGAGGGAGAAAAGAGGGAGUGGUAGAGAGUGGUAGAGGGAGAAAAGAGGGAGUGGUAGAGAGUGGUAGAGGGAGAAAAGAGGGGGUGGUAGAGUGUGGUAGAGGGAGAAAAGAGGGAGUGGUAGAGAGUGGUAGAGGGAGAAAAGAGGGGGUGGUAGAGAGUGGUAGAGGGAGAAAAGAGGGGGUGGUAGAGAGUGGUAGAGGGAGAAAAGAGGGAGUGGUAGAGAGUGGUAGAGGGAGAAAAGAGGGGGUGGUAGAGAGUGGUAGAGGGAGAAAAGAGGGAGUGGGAGUGGUAGAGAGUGGUAGAGGGAGAAAAGAGGGGGUGGUAGAGAGUGGUAGAGGGAGAAAAGAGGGGGUGGUAGAGAGUGGUAGAGGGAGAAAAGAGGGAGUGGUAGAGAG